GACGAACGCUGGCGGCGUGCUUAACACAUGCAAGUCGAACGGAAAGGCCCUGCUUUUGUGGGGUGCUCGAGUGGCGAACGGGUGAGUAACACGGGAGUAACCUGCCCUUGACUUUGGGAUAACUUCAGGAAACUGGGGCUAAUACCGGAUAGGAGCUCCUGCUGCAUGGUGGGGGUUGGAAAGUUUCGGCGGUUGGGGAUGGACUCGCGGCUUAUCAGCUUGUGGGGGGGGUAGUGGCUUACCAAGGCUUUGACGGGUAGCCGGCCUGAGAGGGUGACCGGGCGGAAGUGGAAUUGGUUGCGGACGAGACUCGCACGGGAGGCAGCAGGGGGGAGUGCGGGACGACGGGCGGGAGCUUGAGGCCGCCACCCCGCGUGGCGGAUGACGGACCGAGGGUUGGGAACGACGGACGCCAGGGAAGAAGCUUUUCGUGACGGUACCUAGAGAAGAGGCACCGGCUAACUACGUG
RNAcentral lists this ribosomal RNA (469 nucleotides) under uncultured bacterium. RNAcentral's name for it is "partial 16S ribosomal RNA". It matches the Rfam family "Bacterial small subunit ribosomal RNA", at positions 28 to 507 of the family's 1533-position model. The record is from RNAcentral.